Molecule: long non-coding RNA, 237 nt
Organism: Poeciliopsis prolifica (blackstripe livebearer)
Lineage: Eukaryota; Metazoa; Chordata; Actinopteri; Cyprinodontiformes; Poeciliidae
Exons: 3
Source: RefSeq, a predicted model, not a curated record
CCGAGACUCUGGGAUUUACACCUGCUACCUGAACGCCGACUUCGAUGACGUCACAGAGAAAUGGAGACUUCAAAUGAAAGAACAAUUUGUUCUGAACGUUACGAUUGGAGGAAAUGACAAUCCGUCAGGAAACAUACUUUUUGUCGCGACGCCUCCAUAUGCUGAACUCGCUCCAACCGGACCGGACCAAACCAUUAGAUUGGCUGUGACACUUUCAGUCGCUGCUGUAUUUGUGGC